This 490-nucleotide ribosomal RNA is filed under the name uncultured bacterium. Its description in RNAcentral is "partial 16S ribosomal RNA". It matches the Rfam family "Bacterial small subunit ribosomal RNA", at positions 29 to 505 of the family's 1533-position model. The record is from RNAcentral.
AGUGAACGCUGGCGGUAGGCCUAACACAUGUAAGUCGAACGGCAGCACAGUAAGAGCUUGCUCUUACGGGUGGCGAGUGGCGGACGGGUGAGGAAUACAUCGGAAUCUACUUUUUCGUGGGGGAUAACGUAGGGAAACUUACGCUAAUACCGCAUACGACCUACGGGUGAAAGCAGGGGAUCUUCGGACCUUGCGCGAUUGAAUGAGCCGAUGUCGGAUUAGCUAGUUGGCGGGGUAAAGGCCCACCAAGGCGACGAUCCGUAGCUGGUCUGAGAGGAUGAUCAGCCACACUGGAACUGAGACACGGUCCAGACUCCUACGGGAGGCAGCAGUGGGGAAUAUUGGACAAUGGGCGCAAGCCUGAUCCAGCCAUACCGCGUGGGUGAAGAAGGCCUUCGGGUUGUAAAGCCCUUUUGUUGGGAAAGAAAAGCAGCAGGUUAAUACCCCGCUGUUCUGACGGUACCCAAAGAAUAAGCACCGGCUAACUUCG